GAGUUUGAUCCUGGCUCAGAUUGAACGCUGGCGGCAGGCCUAACACAUGCAAGUCGAGCGGAAACGAUGGAAGCUUGCUUCCAGGCGUCGAGCGGCGGACGGGUGAGUAAUGCAUAGGAAUCUGCCCGGUAGUGGGGGAUAACCUGGGGAAGCCCAGGCUAAUACCGCAUACGUCCUACGGGAGAAAGCAGGGGAUCUUCGGACCUUGCGCUAUCGGAUGAGCCUAUGUCGGAUUAGCUGGUUGGUGAGGUAAUGGCUCACCAAGGCGACGAUCCGUAGCUGGUCUGAGAGGAUGAUCAGCCACAUCGGGACUGAGACACGGCCCGAACUCCUACGGGAGGCAGCAGUGGGGAAUAUUGGACAAUGGGCGAAAGCCUGAUCCAGCCAUGCCGCGUGUGUGAAGAAGGCUUUCGGGUUGUAAAGCACUUUCAGUGGGGAAGAAAUCCUCGGGGCCAAUACCCCUCGAGGGAGGACAUCACCCACCAGAAGAAGCACCGGCUAACUCCGUGCCAGCA
This 515-nucleotide ribosomal RNA is filed under the name Halomonas sp. SK6F10. RNAcentral describes it as "bacterial SSU rRNA". It matches the Rfam family "Bacterial small subunit ribosomal RNA", at positions 9 to 513 of the family's 1533-position model. The record is from RNAcentral. Lineage: Bacteria; Pseudomonadati; Pseudomonadota; Gammaproteobacteria; Oceanospirillales; Halomonadaceae.